UGAAAAUCAUUCAUCAACGAAAUUAACACUGGGUUGCAGUAGGUAUGAUUCACUGGACAAAAGUGGUCCGAGACAUCGAGUCAUGCCGAAAUGCAGACAAGGGAAUUCCAGUAUUUAAGAGCAAGUGUCUGAAGAAACUAUGUCAAAUUUCCUACCUUAAACAGAAGAUUAGUGACUACA
This is a long non-coding RNA of Trichomycterus rosablanca, 180 nucleotides long. RefSeq lists it as uncharacterized. Lineage: Eukaryota; Metazoa; Chordata; Actinopteri; Siluriformes; Trichomycteridae. The record is from RefSeq and is a predicted model, not a curated record. The transcript has 3 exons.